Molecule: ribosomal RNA, 445 nt
Filed under: uncultured soil bacterium
Lineage: Bacteria
Description: bacterial SSU rRNA
Rfam family: Bacterial small subunit ribosomal RNA
Source: RNAcentral
AGAACGAACGCUGGCGGCAUGCCUAAUACAUGCAAGUCGAACGAACUCUUCGGAGUUAGUGGCGCACGGGUGCGUAACGCGUGGGAAUCUGCCCUUGGGUUCGGAAUAACAGUUGGAAACGACUGCUAAUACCGGAUGAUGACGAAAGUCCAAAGAUUUAUCGCCCAGGGAUGAGCCCGCGUAGGAUUAGCUAGUUGGUGAGGUAAAGGCUCACCAAGGCGACGAUCCUUAGCUGGUCUGAGAGGAUGAUCAGCCACACUGGGACUGAGACACGGCCCAGACUCCUACGGGAGGCAGCAGUAGGGAAUAUUGGACAAUGGGCGAAAGCCUGAUCCAGCAAUGCCGCGUGAGUGAUGAAGGCCUUAGGGUUGUAAAGCUCUUUUACCCGAGAUGAUAAUGACAGUAUCGGAGAAUAAGCCCCGGCUAACUCCGUGCCAGCAGCCGC